AGAAUCUCUGACGCCUAUUGGGGAAGGUUUCCUGGGCAAGGUUCGUCCACCCAGGGUUAGUCGGGUCCUAAGACGAGGCCGAAAGGCGUAGCCGAUGGACAACAGGUUAAUAUUCCUGUACUUUCUAUAAAUGUGAUGGAGUGACGGGGGAGGAUAGUACUACCACUUAUUGGAUUGUGGGGUAAAUAACAACUGGGUUAUGUAGGCAAAUCCGCAUAAUUUUAACCGGGAGUUAUGAUGCAUAGUGAAAGGGCGACCAAGUAGCGAAUUGGAUGAUUCCAUACCUCUUAAAAAAGCUUCUAACAUAAAGUUUAUAUGAAACCCGUACCAAGAACGGACACACGUCCCCAAGAUGAGUAUUCUAAGGCGAGCGAGAAAACCAAUGUCAAGGAACUCUGCAAAUUCAUCCCGUAAGUUCGCAAGAAGGGAUGCCCACCCUAAAAAGUGGGCCGCAGUGAAUAGUAAGGGGGAACUGUUUAUCAAAAACACAGCUCUAUGCUAAGUCGUAAGACGAUGUAUAUGGGGUGACUCCUGCCCAGUGCCCGAAGGUUAAGCAAAGGUGUUAGCAUUUGCGAAGCAUUGAUGUGAAGCCCGGGUGAACGGCGGCCGUAACUAUAACGGUCCUAAGGUAGCGAAAUUCCUUGUCGGCUAAAUACUGACCUGCACGAAAGGAGUAAUUAUCUCUUAACUGUCUCGACAUUGGACUCGGUGAAAUUAUGGUUCCGGCGAAGACGCCGGAGACCCGCAUCUAGACGAAAAGACCCCGUGGAGCUUUACUAUAACUUCAUAUUGGAGUUUGAUUUAACUUGUGUAGGAUAGGUGGGAGACUAUGAUGCUUAAACGCUAGUUUAAGAAGAGUCGCCGUUGAAAUACCACCCUUGUUAAAUUGAACUUCUAACUUGUUACCAUUACCUGGUAAGAGGACAGUGUGUGGUGGGUAGUUUGACUGGGGCGGUCGCCUCCUAAAAGGUAACGGAGGCGUUCAAAGUUACACUCAAUACGGUCAGAAACCGUAUCAGAGAGCAUAAAGGUAGAAGUGUGAUUGACUGUGAGACCUACAAGUCGAGCAGGUGCGAAAGCAGGACUUAGUGAUCCGGCGGUUCUUUGUGGAAAGGCCGUCGCUCAACGGAUAAAAGCUACCCCGGGGAUAACAGGCUUAUCUUUCCCAAGAGAUCACAUCGACGGGAAGGUUUGGCACCUCGAUGUCGGCUCAUCGCAUCCUGGAGCUGGAGUCGGUUCCAAGGGUUGGGCUGUUCGCCCAUUAAAGCGGUACGCGAGCUGGGUUCAAAACGUCGUGAGACAGUUUGGUUCCUAUCUGAUGUGGGCGUUGGAAUAUUGAUGAGAGCUACUCUUAGUACGAGAGGACCGGAGUGGACGUACCGAUGGUGUUCCAGUUGUUUUGCCAAAAGCAUAGCUGGGUAGCCAAGUACGGCAGGGAUAACCGCUGAAAGCAUCUAAGCGGGAAGCCCCCUCAAAGAUGAGUAUUCCCUAUUAAAUUCCUUAUAGACUAUGAGGUUGAUAGGCUGGAGGUGUAAGUAUAGCAAUAUAUUCAGCUGACCAGUACUAAUAAAUUGAUUGGUUUAAUAGU
This 1588-nucleotide ribosomal RNA is filed under the name Metamycoplasma alkalescens. Its description in RNAcentral is "bacterial LSU rRNA". It matches the Rfam family "Bacterial large subunit ribosomal RNA", at positions 1324 to 2925 of the family's 2925-position model. Lineage: Bacteria; Bacillati; Mycoplasmatota; Mycoplasmoidales; Metamycoplasmataceae. The record is from RNAcentral.